UACGAAGGGUGCAAACGUUGUUCGGAAUUACUGGGCGUAAAGGGCUCGUAGGCGGCCAACUAAGUCAUACGUGAAAUCCCUCGGCUUAACCGGGGAACUGCGUCUGAUACUGGAUGGCUUGAGUUCGGGAGAGGGAUGCGGAAUUCCAGGUGUAGCGGUGAAAUGCGUAGAUAUCGGGAGGAACACCAGUGGCGAAGGCGGCGACCUGGACGGACACUGACGCUGAGACGCGAAAGCGUGGGGAGCAAACAGG
Molecule: ribosomal RNA, 253 nt
Filed under: uncultured bacterium
Lineage: Bacteria
Description: partial 16S ribosomal RNA
Rfam family: Bacterial small subunit ribosomal RNA
Source: RNAcentral